GGUUAAGUUAGAAAGGGCGCACGGUGGAUGCCUUGGCACUAGGAGCCGAAGAAGGACGGGACUAACACCGAUAUGCUUUGGGGAGCUGUACGUAAGCGUUGAUCCAGAGAUUUCCGAAUGGGGGAACCCACUAUCUUUAGUCGGAUAGUAUCCUUACGUGAAUACAUAGCGUGAGGAAGGCAGACCCAGGGAACUGAAACAUCUAAGUACCUGGAGGAAGAGAAAGAAAAAUCGAUUUCCUGAGUAGCGGCGAGCGAAACGGAAAGAGCCCAAACCAAGAAGCUUGCUUCUUGGGGUUGUAGGACACUCUAUACGGAGUUACAAAAGAAAGUUAUAAAUGAAGCGGUCUGGAAAGGCCCGCCAAAGACGGUAACAGCCCGGUAGUUGAAAUGGCUUUCCCUCCAGAGUGGAUCCUGAGUACGGCGGAACACGUGAAAUUCCGUCGGAAUCCGGGAGGACCAUCUCCCAAGGCUAAAUACUCCCUAGUGACCGAUAGUGAACCAGUACCGUGAGGGAAAGGUGAAAAGCACCCCGGAAGGGGAGUGAAACAGUUCCUGAAACCGUGUGCCUACAAGUAGUUAGAGCCCGUUAAUGGGUGAUAGCGUGCCUUUUGUAGAAUGAACCGGCGAGUUACGAUUUGUUGCAAGGUUAAGCGGAAAAAGCGGAGCCGUAGCGAAAGCGAGUCUGAAUAGGGCGCAUAAGUAACAGGUCGUAGACCCGAAACCAGGUGAUCUACCCAUGUCCAGGAUGAAGGUAAGGUAAUACUUACUGGAGGUCCGAACCCACGCACGUUGAAAAGUGCGGGGAUGAGGUGUGGGUAGCGGAGAAAUUCCAAUCGAACUUGGAGAUAGCUGGUUCUCUCCGAAAUAGCUUUAGGGCUAGCCUCGAGGUAAAGAGUCAUGGAGGUAGAGCACUGUUUGGACUAGGGGCCCUUCUCGGGUUACCGAAUUCAGAUAAACUCCGAAUGCCAUGUACUUAUACUCGGGAGUCAGACUGCGAGUGAUAAGAUCCGUAGUCGAAAGGGAAACAGCCCAGACCACCAGUUAAGGUCCCCAAAUAUAUGUUAAGUGGAAAAGGAUGUGGGGUUGCUUAGACAACCAGGAUGUUGGCUUAGAAGCAGCCACCAUUGAAAGAGUGCGUAAUAGCUCACUGGUCGAGUGACCCCGCGCCGAAAAUGUACCGGGGCUAAACAUAUUACCGAAACUGUGGAUGAACCUCUUCGGAGGUUCGUGGUAGGAGAGCGUUCUAAGGGCGGUGAAGUCAGACCGGAAGGACUGGUGGAGCGCUUAGAAGUGAGAAUGCCGGUAUGAGUAGCGAAAGAAGGGUGAGAAUCCCUUCCACCGAAUAUCUAAGGUUUCCUGAGGAAGGCUCGUCCGCUCAGGGUUAGUCGGGACCUAAGCCGAGGCCGAUAGGCGUAGGCGAUGGACAACAGGUAGAGAUUCCUGUACCAGUGCUAAUUGUUUAACCGAUGGGGUGACACAGAAGGAUAGGGAAUCGCACGAAUGGAAAUGUGCGUCCAAGCAGUGAGUGUGAGAAGUAGGCAAAUCCGCUUCUUGCGAAGCAUGAGCUGUGAUGGGGAAGGAAAUUAAGUACGGAAGUUCCUGAUUUCACGCUGUCAAGAAAAGCCUCUAGGAAGAGUAGUACUGCCCGUACCGCAAACCGACACAGGUAGAUGAGGAGAGAAUCCUAAGGUGAGCGAGAGAACUCUCGUUAAGGAACUCGGCAAAAUGACCCCGUAACUUCGGGAGAA
RNAcentral lists this ribosomal RNA (1750 nucleotides) under Listeria innocua. Its description in RNAcentral is "partial 23S ribosomal RNA". It matches the Rfam family "Bacterial large subunit ribosomal RNA", at positions 1 to 1744 of the family's 2925-position model. Lineage: Bacteria; Bacillati; Bacillota; Bacilli; Caryophanales; Listeriaceae. The record is from RNAcentral.